UUGCUUCAGCAGCACAUAUACCAAAAUUGGAAUGAUACUGAGAUUAGCGAUGGCCCCUGAGAAAGGAUGACAUGCAAAUGCACGAAGUGUUCUAUAUUUUA
This is a small nuclear RNA of Callithrix jacchus (white-tufted-ear marmoset), 101 nucleotides long. The record is from Ensembl. Lineage: Eukaryota; Metazoa; Chordata; Mammalia; Primates; Cebidae.